UAUAAACACACACACACAUGCAUAUACAUAAACACAUAUGUAUGUAUGCAUCUGUGUGUGUGUACAUACACUGAUAUUUAUAUAUUGUCCUUUUACAAUAUCCAUGAGUUUAGAAACUUCAUGAUGAAUAUGGCAAGAUUUGUAUCUCAGGUCAGUGUGGGAAAUAUCUUCGGUGCUCUUCAUACUUGUUGUAUUAAUUGAUGUUUUCCCCAAAUUUUGAGAAUAAGACAUUAGGCCUCUGUGGGUAUUGACUACCCCACAAGAAGUCAUCUCCUAGCAAGCUGAGCUUAUUAUCUCAGCCAAGAGGUGUUUACUUCUACUGAACAGAUGGUAUCUACUAGUUGUAAUUGUUAAAAUAACAAUUUGAAGUUCUGUAGGCUGAUGAUUAUGGGAAUGGCUAUCUAAGAGUAGGAAUAAGUAAUGUUGUUUUUGAUUCUCAGUUAAAACUACUUUAUUAAAGCUAUUAAAAUGAGAUUCUUCUUAAGGUGACGAACUGGCAGAACUAUUAGCAUCAUGGGUGAAAUGCUUGGCAGCAUUUUGUCUUGUCUUUACAUUCAGCUUUCACUGAGGUUGACUUUGCCUUUCAUCUUUUCAGUGUUGAUAAAUUAAGUACCAGUUUAAUACUGGGGUUGAUGUAAUUGACGCCCCCCCCCUCAAAAUUGGUUACCUUGUGCCAAAAUUUGAAGCCAAUAUGAAUUCCUCUCAGACAUGGUGACUUUUUAUUUUUUCUCCCCCCCCCCAACCCUUUUGUAAGAUUUUGUAUUUUAAUGCUGACGUAACAAUAUUAGUAGAUAGCUAAAGUGUGGUUAGAAUGGAACUAGAUUUCAGUUUAUUUACAACUCUGAUCUUAGUUCGAAUCUAUCACAGAUAUGUUAAUGAUAUCCCUUCAAUUGAUUUUAUCUCUCUCUCUCUCUCUGUCAGUAUUGAUUUUCAAAUUCCCCAACAUUUGUUGUGUCAGGGUUUAUGAAGUUAUCAGUCACACAACAAACAUUUGAGAUUUUCAAUAUUUCGGUUACUUCCUGGCAGGGUUUGUAAGUUGAAAAGGUAGGGAGGGGGCUAGUUGCAAAUGUGUUCCUUUUUUUUUUUUUGUGCUCCUUUCUCCUCUUUCAGUCCUUUCCAGUGCUUUUUAUAAAAGCCUUUCAUAUCUUCAAAAAUCCAACAAAUGUGACAAUCCAUCAUCCUUGAUUGAUUUCCCAGAAUCACACAACCAUGUUAUAAAAUUUUAUAAAAAUUGUAAUUCUUAUUAUUAUGUAUGUGUUGCCUAUGAUGGGCAAAAAGCUCUUAUUUUGAAACCUAUGAUUAUUAUUAUUAUGAUCUGUAGAAUUUCUCUUGUAUUUAUUUUAUGAAAUCUGUAUGUUCCAUUGUAAAAAUUCCUGUUUUGGUUUAAACGAAGAAAAAAAAAAAUCUGAAGAAAGAAAUUGAAAUAUGGAAAAAUAGCUUCAUUUCUAAAAUAAAUCUCUGGCAAUUCUGUUCCAUUUUUACCCCCUUUUCUGCCCCCUAUCCCCUUACUGCCAUCGAGAUUUACAGUUGUAUUAUGUUAUGUGUACCUGGCCAAGCAACUAGAAGGAUUACUACCAGUAAACACUAAAACAGAAGGACAAUGAAAUGAAUACACAUGCAAAAACGGUCAUUAAUGUAAAAGACACAAAGAAAACCCAUUACAUAUAUAUAUGUAUAUAUAUGAAGAACUCUUGGAAUAUGCUUAAUAUUUCUUUUGAGAAGCAACUUUUGACCACUGACUACUGAGUUGAAAGUGGACAAUAAUUAUUUAUUUGGGUGUCUUUGUUGACCUUUCAUUUACCAAUGUCUUUGGCCGCCUUGAAUUAGUUGACAGACAGUCUGUUAAUCCAAGGGAAACUGAAACGACAACAACAACAUCAAUACCAAAAUCUGGUUGUGGAUAAUCUCUGGAGUUUCUUGCUCCCUCUUCUCUUCUCUCUCUCUCUCUCUCUCUUUCUCUCUCUUCCAUCGUGCCAACAUCUACAUUUCUGAGCAAAUGAACGAGACACACAUGAUUAAGAAUGGUCCAUCUUGGAGACAUGUUUAGUCUAGUGACCUGUUUGUUAUUCAUCUUCAACUUGGUCUGUAUAAUGGAAAGUUCUGGAACAGUCAGUUAGAAAUAGAGAGAGAGAGAGGCAGAUGGAGGUCGAGUGAGACCAUGGAGAAUGAGAAAAGGAAAAUUAUAAAAAUACAAAAAAAAAAUGCAAGGUAUAUGAAGAAAUGGAACAAAAUGUGAAGAAAUGUUUCUUUUCUGAUAAAAUUCUUGGAACCAAUUAAGAGAUCACAGCUUACCAAAAUGAGCAAAAGAAAAAAAAAAGAAAACGUGACCUCCCAGAGUGACUGGUUAUGUGAAAUAUUGAAGUAUAAAUGUAUUUCUGUAUACACAAAUACAAAAUAUACACAUGCACACAUUCUAGUAAAUGUACAUGCAUGCAUAUAAAUAUGGUGCUGUGCAUUUGCUGUCUCAUGCAUCUAUCUUCAAACACUAGCAUACAUAGUCCAGAACAAUGUGUGUAUAUAAAUACAUAUGUAUACAUAUAUAUUUUGUGCAUACGCAGAUUUAAUCAAUCACAGCAACAAUAUCCCAACCAUAAUUUAAACUACAACAACCAAAAUGAAGAAAAAGAGGAAAGAAAUGGUGGCAGUAGUAAUGAUGACAAGAAUGAUGAUGGUGAUGCAUCGACUAUCAUUCUGAGAGUCAUUUGUUCCUUUAUUUUUUUUUUAGUUUGUUUUAAGUGGAGUGUAGCAAACAGCUGGGGGAUGGAUAUCUACCAAAUACAUGAAAGGAAAAAAAAAAAGAAAUUUAAAAAUAAUCAGAAAGAAAAUCAUUUGCUGCAGCCAUGUUUAUUUUUUGGAUUACUUACCUAGUGUGUGGUUUCCUCAAUCCAAAUUUGCCUCUGUGGGUUAUCCUACUCACAUCUUGGGAUAAGUACUAAAACAGGUAAGAAUACGGUAUGGGAAUUUUUCAAUUUUUUUUUUUGAAACUAAACAUAUCUGCAUUUCUUAAGAUGACCAAAAAGAAAAAAAAAGAAAAAGAAAAAAAAACCUAAUCCAAUCCAAGAGUGGAUCUUUUGUGCCUUAUUAUUGAGAUAUUAAGAUUGCUACUUAACCUUCGAAGUGUCAAGAAUGCCAUAUUUGGAUAUUUAUUGCACCACCACCACCAACAACAUUAUGAUGAUAUACCACAAUGGAAGAUGAUGAAGAAGAUGAUGAUGAUACUGCCAUUGCUGUUCUUCAUUGUCCUCCUCAUCCUGUUUUUACUUCUGCGACAGUCAAUGCUGCCAAACUUGGAUUACCUACCAUUUGUUGUGACUAAAAACAAGCCAAACAAGGAAACGCAAAUACACCCAAACAACAAACCUACUUACCCCGUCCCCGUAGCCCUCAAAAAAUAACCCUGGCUGUGACGUAAGAUUUGAUCCGCUGUCGUCAUCAUCUUUCUUUGGCUUUAAUAUUGCUGUUAGCUGCCAGGUGUCUCUGUAAGUCUCUACAACUGAAUGUUUGUGCCGUUAAUUUGGCAGACUUUUCUUCGUCUUUCUCCUUUUCUUUAUCUUUUUUUUAAUUUAUUUUAUCACAUUUUUUUUUCUAACAACUUAACAUUUUCAGAAUAAUUUGGAUAUUAAUUUUUUUUUUGUCUUUGCACGUGAAGAGAAAAGUUUAAACAAGCAUAAAAAAAAAGAAAAUGAAAAAUACAAAACAAAAAAAAAAUCAACCGCAUAAAGAAAAAAAAAUAAUAAUUAAACAAACAGCAUACAAAUUAUUUGUAAUGAGAGUUUUAAAAAAUUUUACCAAAACACAAAAAAAACUAAUUUAGAGAAAAAAAGAAAAAAAAGAAAAAAAACAGUCUCUUUGAAAAUAUGGAAAAUAGACAUAAAAAAAAAAUUGUUUUAUUGUGAUGUGAGUGGAACAAAAUAAGAGAGUAUGAAUUCUACUGCUGAUCUCUACAUGUAUUUGUAUGUGUGCAUAUUAUGUCUGUAUGGGUGUGGUAGUGCAUAAAAA
Molecule: long non-coding RNA, 3999 nt
Filed under: Octopus sinensis (East Asian common octopus)
Lineage: Eukaryota; Metazoa; Mollusca; Cephalopoda; Octopoda; Octopodidae
Description: uncharacterized LOC118765152
Source: RNAcentral